Molecule: unclassified non-coding RNA, 273 nt
Filed under: Rhizophagus sp. (in: glomeromycetes)
Lineage: Eukaryota; Fungi; Glomeromycota; Glomeromycetes; Glomerales; Glomeraceae
Description: partial contains 5.8S ribosomal RNA and internal transcribed spacer 2
Rfam family: 5.8S ribosomal RNA (bases 1-65)
Source: RNAcentral
GUGAAUCAUCGAAUCUUUGAACGCAAAUUGCACUCUCUUCGGAGAGUAUGCCUGUUUGAGGGUCAGUAUUAAUAAAAAUCGGUGGGUUGCUUUUUUGUGACGCUUCGGAGUUUGGGUCAUCUUAUUAUCCUUUAGGUUUUAAGAGGCUUAAAAUUAACUUUUUUUGGGAUUUUUAGAUGUACAUAAAUUCUUUUUUUUAUUCUUCUGUCUUAAUGCUCAAAUUCUUAUUAGAUGCGCCCAUAUCGUGUGGUUUCGUGUCUAUAAUUUUUCCUU